This 469-nucleotide ribosomal RNA is filed under the name uncultured archaeon. RNAcentral describes it as "bacterial SSU rRNA". It matches the Rfam family "Archaeal small subunit ribosomal RNA", at positions 339 to 810 of the family's 1478-position model. The record is from RNAcentral.
UCGCGCAAACUUUGCAAUACACGAAAGUGUGACAGGGCUAUCCCGAGUGCCGCCCGCUGAGGGUGGCUUUUGCUCAGUUUAGCAAGCUGGGAGAAUAAGGAGAGGGCAAGUCUGGUGUCAGCCGCCGCGGUAAUACCAGCUCUCCGAGUGGUGUGGAUGUUUAUUGGGCCUAAAGCAUCCGUAGCUUGCUGAGUUAGUCCCCUGUUAAAUCCAGCAAAUUAAUUGUUGGUGUGCGGGGGAUACUGCUCGGCUAGGGGACGAGAGAGGCAGACGGUAUUUCCGGGGUAGGGGUGAAAUCCUAUAAUCCCGGGAAGACCACCAGUGGCGAAGGCUGUCUGCUAGAACGCGCCCGACGGUGAGGGAUGAAAGCUGGGGGAGCGAACCGGAUUAGAUACCCGGGUAGUCCCAGCUGUAAACUAUGCAGGCUAGGUGUUUGAGCGGCCACGUGCCGCUCUAGUGCCGCAGGGAA